This 395-nucleotide long non-coding RNA is filed under the name Panax ginseng (ginseng). Its description in RNAcentral is "long non-coding RNA (PGIN_LNC005037)". Lineage: Eukaryota; Viridiplantae; Streptophyta; Magnoliopsida; Apiales; Araliaceae. The record is from RNAcentral.
AAGAAGUUUCGAUCUCCCGAAGUUAGGACAUUAUUUUCGAACCCGAUCGAACUCAGCUCUUCAGGAAUUAUGGUCAUUUCCUCGAACCAAUUUUCCUUCCGUGUGUCCUAUCUAACUCUUCCUCAAACUCCAAAACCAGUUGUCCUACAUCAACCCUUCCCACCUGCGAAGAACUCAACCUCGAAUUAUAAUCUGGAUAAAGCGGAACAUCAAUCUUCGCAAAACUCAUAAAUAUAAGAUACAUUGAAAGUAUGAGAGAUGUUCAAUUCAAGUACGAGAGAUGUUCAAUUCGGUAGGCAAGUCGAUUACGUAGGUAUUAUCAUUGAUCUUCUUGAUCACCUUGUAUAUACGGACCAUACUUUCGUGGCUUCAACUUGUUAUAGGAGACGACUGGG